CCCCUUAGAUGUUCUGGGCCGCACGCGUGCUACACUGAGUGGAUCAGCGGGUCAGGUUGCGCGAAAGUGUUUCCUAAUCUUUAAAUCCGCUCGUGAUGGGGAUUGACGGUUGCAAUUUUCCGUCAUGAACGAGGAAUACCUUGUAAGCGCGGGUCAUCAUCCCGCGCUGAAUACGUCCCUGCCCUUUGUACACACCGCCCGUCGCUCCUACCGAUUGAGUGGUCCGGUGAGGCUUUGGGAUCUGAGCGGAAAGAGCGAUUCGCUGUUUCUGCCCGGAAAACUCAGUCGAACCUUAUCAUUUAGAGGAAGGAGAAGUCGUAACA
This 323-nucleotide ribosomal RNA is filed under the name uncultured eukaryote. Its description in RNAcentral is "partial 18S ribosomal RNA". It matches the Rfam family "Eukaryotic small subunit ribosomal RNA", at positions 1469 to 1796 of the family's 1831-position model. The record is from RNAcentral.